GCUGCACGUCUCGCCUUUGAAGAAGCUUUUUUGUGAAACUGCGCAUCAGGGUACACAGUUAAGAGUUGCUGACGAUUUAGAUUUAAUUACCACAACUCUGAAUUCAGAAGUCACAUCACCAACCCUAACGGAAAAACAGGUGGAGUCAACAGAUGUAUCUAUGGUAACUCAUAUUAUUACAGCAGUUGUCCUGAUCUUCUUGCUGCUUCUUUCCCUGCUGAUCAUUGUGUACAGACGUAAAUACAAAGGAACCAGGAAGAAUAAAACACCCAGCACACCAAUGGUAAACUUUGGAGGUUUAGAAAAAACACAGAUGGAAACAGUGGAGAAUCUUUAUACUGUAUAAACUAACUUAUCAUGAAAUUCUGAAAACUGGAUGGAUUCAAGAAUAGAAAAUAAUGGAUGCACUAAUAUUUUGAUUCAUUUCAAACUCAAAAACAUUUACUUUCCACAAUUAUUAAUAGAAAAAUAUCUUAUUUAUAUUCCUAGAGGUCAACGUACAAAAAAAUUAAACACAAAGGCCUGGAUUCCAACCAGUUUAAUUUCACAUUCAAAAACAGCUUAUCGCUUACCUGUCAACUGGCCUGUCAUGAAAAAGUUUUUAAAGAUUAAUCAGUAAAAAGUUUGAGAAUAUAAA
Bombina bombina (fire-bellied toad) is the source of this 637-nucleotide long non-coding RNA. RefSeq lists it as uncharacterized. The record is from RefSeq and is a predicted model, not a curated record. Lineage: Eukaryota; Metazoa; Chordata; Amphibia; Anura; Bombinatoridae. The transcript is spliced from 5 exons.